Molecule: ribosomal RNA, 483 nt
Filed under: uncultured bacterium
Lineage: Bacteria
Description: partial 16S ribosomal RNA
Rfam family: Bacterial small subunit ribosomal RNA
Source: RNAcentral
GACGAACGCUGGCGGCGUGCUUAACACAUGCAAGUCGAACGCUGAAGCUCAGCUUUUGUUGGGUGGAUGAGUGGCGAACGGGUGAGUAACACGUGAGUAACCUGCCCCCUUCUUUGGGAUAACGCCCGGAAACGGGUGCUAAUACUGGAUAUUCACUGGUCUUCGCAUGGGGGUUGGUGGAAAGGGUUUUUCUGGUGGGGGAUGGGCUCGCGGCCUAUCAGCUUGUUGGUGGGGUGAUGGCCUACCAAGGCUUUGACGGGUAGCCGGCCUGAGAGGGUGACCGGUCACAUUGGGACUGAGAUACGGCCCAGAGUCCUACGGGAGGCAGCAGUGGGGAAUAUUGCACAAUGGGCGCAAGCCUGAUGCAGCGACGCCGCGUGAGGGAUGGAGGCCUUCGGGUUGUGAACCUCUUUCGCUCAUGGUCAAGCCGCAACAAUGGUUGUGGUGAGGGUAGUGGGUAAAGAAGCGCCGGCUAACUACGUG